UCACAAGUAUCAGCUCCAAGAUGUGCAUCUCCACUUUUUUAUUCAAUCCUAUGAAUGUAUGUUUCAUUUCUCUAAGGUUUUUGUCUAGUUUACCCAAUUCAAUUCCCAACUCUUCUGUUCCAAUAAAACGGAGCUUUCUUGGAGACAUAAAAUGCGUCCAUACCUUUCCAAACAGUUUCACAACCCGUAAAUAUUUCAAUGUAAAAACCAAUCCACCAGAAGAUUGGGAAGCUUUAGUGGUAAAUGUUUCCAACUCUUCUUUCCAACUCCUGCAUAUGAUAAUGAAUUUGAGAGUUUAGUUAUAAAAGAAGAUGAAAGCAAAAGAAAAUGUAAGCCUUAAAUUAUGAAGGUAAUAUAUAUAUAUAUAUAUAUAUAUAUAUAUAUAUAUAUAUAUAUACACCUGCAACAUUUAAUUCUCCCUGCCCUAAUCCACCCAUCUAGGAGUGAGCAAAAAACGGGUAUAACCGAAUCAAACCGAAAUAAUUUAACCGAAAUUUCUUAAUAAUUCGGGUAUUUUUUAUAAUUCGGUUAUAUCCGAUUUUUUUUUCGGUUUACGGUUACUUUUUCGGAUUUCAUUUUUGUAUUAUUCAGUUUACCCGAAUACCGAAUAAGACUUAUCUUACUCUCUCCGUCUGUCUUAUCUCUUAUCACAGACUCUCAGUCUCAACCAGAUCUGAUCUCGAUUUCUACUCUCUAUCUACUCUCUCCGUCUAAUCUCGAUUUCUCAAAGUCACUUCCAUACCGGCCGGCUUCUGUGGCCAUAGCCUCUCCCGGCGGUUUACUAUCUACUCUCUCCGUAUUUGGGUAUCGAUUUAUCAAAUCUAAUCUCAAUUUCUCAAAAGUCAGAUCUCCGUAUUCUGUGGCAAUAGCCUCCCCCGGCGGUUUACCAGAUCUGAUCUCGAUUUCUCAAAAGUCAGAUCUCGACUUAUCAUCUCUAUAUUAGACCCACUUCCAUACCGCCCCGGCUUCUAUGGCCAUACCCGUUCUUCCCGCCGGCACGACCACGUCUCAAGGCUUUCGCCUCAAAACUCCUCCUUUGACCACCGCUGACUGCUACAAGUCCGGUCAUUUGAAGAGAUUCCGGUCAUCUUGUCCGGCGGAGCUCGUCGACCGGUGAUUGCUCGUCGCCUGUUUUCGUUUGCCGAAAAGGGUCAUUGCUUUAUUUUCGUUUGCUUGUUUAUUUUCUGUUUGUUUGCCGGUGAUGGGGAUGGGGUGUGUGAUGAACUGCUGUUACUGUUAUUAAGUUGGGCAAAGAUGCGUUGAUAUUGUUGGGCUGCUUAUUGCUAAUUUGCUAUUGCUGUAAUUAUUUGGGCUGGGCUGCUUAUUGCUGUAAUUAUUUGCUUAUUGCUAUUUGAGCUUUCAUGUGGGCUGGGUUAUUACCCGAAUAUCCGAAUAUAAAUAUACAAUUCGAUUAUUCGGUUAGUUCCAAAUUUCGGUUAGUAUUUCGGAUAGUAAAAUUAUCAAUAAUUCGGUUUUCGGUUAUAACCGAAUAGCUUAUUCGGUUCGGUUAUAACCGAAUGAUCACACCUACACCCAUCCACACCAACUGCCUUUGUGCCUCAUAGCCUCGAAGGAGACUAGGAGACUACAUGCAGUGAGGUUGAAACCCUCAUCCUCUUGGUAAGACUAGGAUGACGGAUAACCAUUGGACUAUGUCAUUUGGUUAGGCAAAUAUUA
RNAcentral lists this long non-coding RNA (1677 nucleotides) under Panax ginseng (ginseng). RNAcentral's name for it is "long non-coding RNA (PGIN_LNC018928)". The record is from RNAcentral. Lineage: Eukaryota; Viridiplantae; Streptophyta; Magnoliopsida; Apiales; Araliaceae.